RNAcentral lists this ribosomal RNA (292 nucleotides) under uncultured prokaryote. RNAcentral's name for it is "partial 16S ribosomal RNA". It matches the Rfam family "Bacterial small subunit ribosomal RNA", at positions 505 to 796 of the family's 1533-position model. The record is from RNAcentral.
GUGUCAGCAGCCGCGGUAAUACGAAGGGGGCUAGCGAUGUUCGGAUUUACUGGGCGUAAAGCGCACGUAGGCGGAUCGUUAAGUCACGGGUGAAAUCCCAGAGCUCAACUCUGGAACUGCCCUUGAUACUGGCGAUCUUGAGUCCGGAAGAGGUGAGUGGAACUCCUAGUGUAGAGGUGGAAUUCGUAGAUAUUAGGAAGAACACCAGUGGCGAAGGCGGCUCACUGGUCCGGUACUGACGCUGAGGUGCGAAAGCGUGGGGAGCAAACAGGAUUAGAAACCCUUGUAGUCC